Molecule: ribosomal RNA, 423 nt
Filed under: uncultured bacterium
Lineage: Bacteria
Description: bacterial SSU rRNA
Rfam family: Bacterial small subunit ribosomal RNA
Source: RNAcentral
AAGACCUUGCGCUUUUGGAGCGGCCGAUGUCUGAUUAGCUAGUUGGUGGGGUAAUGGCCUACCAAAGCUUCGAUCAGUAGCUGGUCUGAGAGGACGGCCAGCCACACUGGGACUGAGACACGGCCCAGACUCCUACGGGAGGCAGCAGUGGGGAAUUUUGGACAAUGGGCGCAAGCCUGAUCCAGCCAUGCCGCGUGAGUGAAGAAGGCCUUCGGGUUGUAAAGCUCUUUCAGCCGGAACGAAACGGUUACGGAUAACACCCGUGACUACUGACGGUACCGGAAGAAGAAGCACCGGCUAACUACGUGCCAGCAGCCGCGGUAAUACGUAGGGUGCGAGCGUUAAUCGGAAUUACUGGGCGUAAAGCGUGCGCAGGUGGUUUUGUAAGUCAGAUGUGAAAGCCCCGGGCUCAACCUGGGAACU